CCCCUUUAUGCUACGCACAUGUAUUACAUCAUUUAACCCUCACAAUAUGACUAAUCUUCUAUAGAAUGUUGACGAGUUAAUAGAACCAGCGUAAUUCAUUCACAUCCAGCAAUACAUCAAAUGUCCAUCCACCCUUAUCCUAAGUUGCUCUGGGACCACACAUUGAUUUGCUUAGAGUUACUACGAGGAAGAGGAACAGAAGAACAAGAGUUCCUGCUGGCCUUGGAGGCUCCACACAGGGAAGAGAGUAAAUGGAGACGGUGGUCUGUAACCAAAGUCCAGCCUUCAUGACCACAUAACCUGGAAUAUCACAGCAGCAUCCUAGCCAGCCGUCUUGUCUCCAGUCCUGGUUACUGAUUUCCCCUGGCCACCCUCUCACCUAAUCAGUUUGGCUUUCAUGGUGUCGUAUGUCUGCCCCAAAGCCAUGAGAGCGUCCUACUGUUUGUUAAAUUAACUCCGAGUCCCUCUGCAGAACUUUCAGCUCCCCACAUGCAGGCUUUUCUUUUUCCCUUCUUACUGCAAGCCUCCACUCCUCGAGUCAUCCCUAUAAAGAGGAACCAAAGAUGUUUUCCUUUUAUAACCAAGAAGACUAAGAGCACCCAGAGAGGCUUGGCCAGGUCAAAGCCUUUGGCGGAUCCAGGCUGAGAACCAAUGGCCUCUCCAGUCCUCCGUAUGCUUGCCAGGACAGUCAAACUCCCUCCCUCGGGGAGCCAGGAACCAGGUCCCUUGCAAGCAGCUCAUGGCAGGUCCUGGUUAAGGGAGACAGUGGCGACUCCAUGGAAACUCAGAAUGAGG
Molecule: long non-coding RNA, 795 nt
Filed under: Macaca mulatta (Rhesus monkey)
Lineage: Eukaryota; Metazoa; Chordata; Mammalia; Primates; Cercopithecidae
Description: lncRNA (ENSMMUG00000063915.1)
Source: RNAcentral